UGUGAAACUCGCCUAAUUCCUUGGCA
This 26-nucleotide non-coding RNA is filed under the name Mus musculus (house mouse). Lineage: Eukaryota; Metazoa; Chordata; Mammalia; Rodentia; Muridae. The record is from RNAcentral.